RNAcentral lists this ribosomal RNA (492 nucleotides) under uncultured bacterium. Its description in RNAcentral is "partial 16S ribosomal RNA". It matches the Rfam family "Bacterial small subunit ribosomal RNA", at positions 29 to 507 of the family's 1533-position model. The record is from RNAcentral.
AGUGAACGCUGGCGGUAGGCCUAACACAUGCAAGUCGAACGGCAGCACAGUAAGAGCUUGCUCUUACGGGUGGCGAGUGGCGGACGGGUGAGGAAUACAUCGGAAUCUACUUUUUCGUGGGGGAUAACGUAGGGAAACUUACGCUAAUACCGCAUACGACCUACGGGUGAAAGCAGGGGAUCUUCGGACCUUGCGCGAUUGAAUGAGCCGAUGUCGGAUUAGCUAGUUGGCGGGGUAAAGGCCCACCAAGGCGACGAUCCGUAGCUGGUCUGAGAGGAUGAUCAGCCACACUGGAACUGAGACACGGUCCAGACUCCUACGGGAGGCAGCAGUGGGGAAUAUUGGACAAUGGGCGCAAGCCUGAUCCAGCAAUACCGCGUGGGUGAAGAAGGCCUUCGGGUUGUAAAGCCCUUUUGUUGGGAAAGAAAAGCAGCAGGUUAAUACCCCGCUGUUCUGACGGUACCCAAAGAAUAAGGACCGGCUAACUUCGUG